This 515-nucleotide ribosomal RNA is filed under the name Pediococcus pentosaceus. RNAcentral's name for it is "bacterial SSU rRNA". It matches the Rfam family "Bacterial small subunit ribosomal RNA", at positions 32 to 503 of the family's 1533-position model. Lineage: Bacteria; Bacillati; Bacillota; Bacilli; Lactobacillales; Lactobacillaceae. The record is from RNAcentral.
AACGCUGGCGGCGUGCCUAAUACAUGCAAGUCGAACGAACUUCCGUUAAUUGAUUAUGACGUACUUGUACUGAUUGAGAUUUUAACACGAAGUGAGUGGCGAACGGGUGAGUAACACGUGGGUAACCUGCCCAGAAGUAGGGGAUAACACCUGGAAACAGAUGCUAAUACCGUAUAACAGAGAAAACCGCAUGGUUUUCUUUUAAAAGAUGGCUCUGCUAUCACUUCUGGAUGGACCCGCGGCGUAUUAGCUAGUUGGUGAGGUAAAGGCUCACCAAGGCAGUGAUACGUAGCCGACCUGAGAGGGUAAUCGGCCACAUUGGGACUGAGACACGGCCCAGACUCCUACGGGAGGCAGCAGUAGGGAAUCUUCCACAAUGGACGCAAGUCUGAUGGAGCAACGCCGCGUGAGUGAAGAAGGGUUUCGGCUCGUAAAGCUCUGUUGUUAAAGAAGAACGUGGGUAAGAGUAACUGUUUACCCAGGACGGUAUUUAACCAGAAAGCCACGGCUAACUA